GGUAAACGCUGGCGGCGUGCCUAAAACAUGCAAGUCGAACGGACUAUCGCAAGAUGGUCAGUGGCAGACGGCUGAGUAACGCGUGGGUGACGUACCUGUUGGUGGGGAAUAACUGCCCGAAAGGGUGGCUAAUUCCGCAUACGUCCACUGAUUCGGUUCAGUGGAGAAAGCCGCAAGGCGCCGAUGGAGCGGCCCGCGUUCGAUUAGCUGGUUGGUGGGGUAACGGCCUACCAAGGCGACGAUCGAUAGCUGGUCUUAGAGGAUGAUCAG
Molecule: ribosomal RNA, 270 nt
Filed under: uncultured bacterium
Lineage: Bacteria
Description: partial 16S ribosomal RNA
Rfam family: Bacterial small subunit ribosomal RNA
Source: RNAcentral